Molecule: ribosomal RNA, 808 nt
Filed under: uncultured bacterium
Lineage: Bacteria
Description: bacterial SSU rRNA
Rfam family: Bacterial small subunit ribosomal RNA
Source: RNAcentral
AGAGUUUGAUCCUGGCUCAGGACGAACGCUGGCGGCGUGCCUAAUACAUGCAAGUCGAGCGGACCGAAUAGGAGCUUGCUCUUGUUCGGUUAGCGGCGGACGGGUGAGUAACACGUGGGCAACCUACCCGUAAGACCGGGAUAACUCCGGGAAACCGGAGCUAAUACCGGAUAACACCGAAGACCGCAUGGUCUUCGGUUGAAAGGCGGCUUUGGCUGUCACUUACGGAUGGGCCCGCGGCGCAUUAGCUAGUUGGUGAGGUAACGGCUCACCAAGGCGACGAUGCGUAGCCGGCCUGAGAGGGUGACCGGCCACACUGGGACUGAGACACGGCCCAGACUCCUACGGGAGGCAGCAGUAGGGAAUCUUCCGCAAUGGACGAAAGUCUGACGGAGCGACGCCGCGUGAGCGAAGAAGGUCUUCGGAUCGUAAAGCUCUGUUGUUAGGGAAGAAGAAGUACCGUUCGAAUAGGGCGGUACGGUGACGGUACCUAACGAGAAAGCCCCGGCUAACUACGUGCCAGCAGCCGCGGUAAUACGUAGGGGGCGAGCGUUGUCCGGAAUUAUUGGGCGUAAAGCGCGCGCAGGCGGUCCCUUAAGUCUGAUGUGAAAGCCCACGGCUCAACCGUGGAGGGUCAUUGGAAACUGGGGGACUUGAGUGCAGAAGAGGAGAGCGGAAUUCCACGUGUAGCGGUGAAAUGCGUAGAGAUGUGGAGGAACACCAGUGGCGAAGGCGGCUCUCUGGUCUGUAACUGACGCUGAGGCGCGAAAGCGUGGGGAGCAAACAGGAUUAGAUACCCCGGUAGUCC